RNAcentral lists this ribosomal RNA (253 nucleotides) under uncultured bacterium. Its description in RNAcentral is "partial 16S ribosomal RNA". It matches the Rfam family "Bacterial small subunit ribosomal RNA", at positions 524 to 776 of the family's 1533-position model. The record is from RNAcentral.
GACGUAGGAUGCAAGCGUUGUCCGGAUUUAUUGGGCGUAAAGAGUUCGUAGGCGGUUCGUUAAGUCUGAUGUUAAAUAUCGGGGCUCAACCUCGGGAGUGCAUUGGAUACUGGCGGACUGGAGUGUGGUAGAGGUUAGUGGAAUUCCCAGUGUAGCAGUGAAAUGCGUAGAGAUCGGGAGGAACAUCAGUUGCGAAGGCGGCUCUCUGGACCAGCACUGACACUGAGGCACGAAAGCGUGGGGAGCAAACAGG